RNAcentral lists this ribosomal RNA (497 nucleotides) under uncultured bacterium. RNAcentral's name for it is "partial 16S ribosomal RNA". It matches the Rfam family "Bacterial small subunit ribosomal RNA", at positions 28 to 507 of the family's 1533-position model. The record is from RNAcentral.
GAUGAACGCUGGCGGCGUGCCUAAUACAUGCAAGUCGAGCGAACAGACGAGGAGCUUGCUCCUCUGACGUUAGCGGCGGACGGGUGAGUAACACGUGGAUAACCUACCUAUAAGACUGGGAUAACUUCGGGAAACCGGAGCUAAUACCGGAUAAUAUAUUGAACCGCAUGGUUCAAUAGUGAAAGACGGUUUUGCUUUCACUUAUAGAUGGAUCCGCGCCGCAUUAGCUAGUUGGUAAGGUAACGGCUUACCAAGGCAACGAUGCGUAGCCGACCUGAGAGGGUGAUCGGCCACACUGGAACUGAGACACGGUCCAGACUCCUACGGGAGGCAGCAGUAGGGAAUCUUCCGCAAUGGGCGAAAGCCUGACGGAGCAACGCCGCGUGAGUGAUGAAGGUCUUCGGAUCGGAAAACUCUGUUAUUAGGGAAGAACAAAUGUGUAAGUAACUAUGCACGUCUUGACGGUACCUAAUCAGAAAGCCACGGCUAACUACGUG